RNAcentral lists this ribosomal RNA (497 nucleotides) under uncultured bacterium. RNAcentral's name for it is "bacterial SSU rRNA". It matches the Rfam family "Bacterial small subunit ribosomal RNA", at positions 29 to 518 of the family's 1533-position model. The record is from RNAcentral.
AUUGAACGCUGGCGGCGUGCCUAACACAUGCAAGUCGAGCGGUAACAGGUGUAGCAAUACAUGCUGACGAGCGGCGGACGGGUGAGUAACGCUUGGGAAUCUGCCUAUUAGUGGGGGACAACCCGGGGAAACUCGGGCUAAUACCGCAUACGCACUACGGUGGAAAGCCGGGGACCGCAAGGCCUGGCGCUAACAGAUGAGCCCAAGUCGGAUUAGCUAGUUGGUAGGGUAACGGCCUACCAAGGCGACGAUCCGUAACUGGUCUGAGAGGACGACCAGUCACACCGGAACUGAGACACGGUCCGGACUCCUACGGGAGGCAGCAGUGGGGAAUAUUGGACAAUGGGCGAAAGCCUGAUCCAGCGACGCCGCGUGGGUGAAGAAGGCCUGCGGGUUGUAAAGCCCUUUCAGUGGGGAAGAAAAGCCUCGAGCUAACACCUCGGGGUCUUGACGUAACCCAUAGAAGAAGCACCGGCUAACUCUGUGCCAGCAGCCGC